AACGCAAAUUGCGCCCAAGGCUUCGGCCGAGGGCAUGUCUGCCUCAGCGUCGGCUUACUCCCUCGCUCUCCCUCUCCUUGGGAGAUCGGACCUGGCCCUCCUGGCUCCGUUUUUGUCGAAUCGACCAGGUCGGCUGAAGUAUAGAGGCUUGAGCAUGGACCCCGCUCGUAGGGCAAUGUCUUGGUAGGUAGCUUUGCUACAAAGCCUGACGUUGCCCGAGGGAACUUUGCUGGCGGCCCAGUAGGAAUUUGGUGAGCUUCUUUGGGAGCCCCGAAUGCUUUUUAACCUUUCGACCUGAGCUCAGGCAAGACUACCCGCUGAACUUAA
This 327-nucleotide unclassified non-coding RNA is filed under the name uncultured fungus. Its description in RNAcentral is "partial contains 5.8S ribosomal RNA, internal transcribed spacer 2, and large subunit ribosomal RNA". The record is from RNAcentral. Lineage: Eukaryota; Fungi.